Long non-coding RNA from Sinocyclocheilus rhinocerous, 202 nucleotides. RefSeq lists it as uncharacterized. The record is from RefSeq and is a predicted model, not a curated record. The transcript has 3 exons. NCBI's taxonomy places the organism in Eukaryota, Metazoa, Chordata, Actinopteri, Cypriniformes, Cyprinidae.
AUAUGUUCUGUUCUUUGCUCAAGAGUCUUAUGUGGUCAGUAAGCCAGUCAAAUUAAAUGGAUCUCUCGAUGGUUUGGUACUCGGGGAAGUACGUGUUUUUGGGGUUCAGGCUUCACCUACAGCCGUGUGGGCCAAUGGCCAAAAGGUUCAUGACUUCUCUUACAGCCCAGACACCAAGGUUCUGACAGUGCCAGGUCUGGAC